Molecule: ribosomal RNA, 301 nt
Filed under: uncultured bacterium
Lineage: Bacteria
Description: partial 16S ribosomal RNA
Rfam family: Bacterial small subunit ribosomal RNA
Source: RNAcentral
CAGUCGCCGCGGGAAUACGAAGGGGGCUAGCGUUGCUCGGAAUGACUGGGCGUAAAGGGCGCGUAGGCGGCACAGACAAUCAGAAGUGAAAUUCCUGGGCUCAACCUGGGGACUGCUUUUGAUACGUCUGAGCUAGAGUGGAGAAGAGGGUUGUGGAAUUUCCAGUGUAGAGGUGAAAUUCGUAGAUAUUGGAAAGAACACCGGUGGCGAAGGCGGCAACCUGGUCUUUUACUGACGCUGAGGCGCGAAAGCGUGGGGAGCAAACAGGAUUAGAUACCCCAGUAGUCCCUGUCUCUUAUAC